GUGAGGAAUAUUGGUCAAUGGGCGCAAGCCUGAACCAGCCAUGCCGCGUGCAGGAAGACGGUCCUAUGGAUUGUAAACUGCUUUUAUUUGGGAAUAAACUCCGGUACGUGUACCGGCCUGAAGGUACCAAAUGAAUAAGCACCGGCUAACUCCGUGCCAGCAGCCGCGGUAAUAUGGAGGGUGCAAGCGUUAUCCGGAAUCAUUGGGUUUAAAGGGUCCGCAGGCGGUCUUAUAAGUCAGUGGUGAAAGCCUACAGCUCAACUGUAGAACUGCCAUUGAUACUGUAGGACUUGAAUUCGAUCGAAGUGGGCGGAAUGUGACAUGUAGCGGUGAAAUGCUUAGAUAUGUCACAGAACACCGAUAGCGAAGGCAGCUCACUAGGUCUGGAUUGACGCUCAGGGACGAAAGCGUGGGGAGCAAACAGGAUUAGAUACCCUUGUAGUCC
RNAcentral lists this ribosomal RNA (445 nucleotides) under uncultured bacterium. RNAcentral describes it as "bacterial SSU rRNA". It matches the Rfam family "Bacterial small subunit ribosomal RNA", at positions 354 to 796 of the family's 1533-position model. The record is from RNAcentral.